GAGUAAUCGUUAGGAAUCUGCCUAUUAGUGGGGGACAACAUCUCGAAAGGGAUGCUAAUACCGCAUACGCCCUACGGGGGAAAGCAGGGGAUCUUCGGACCUUGCGCUAAUAGAUGAGCCUAAGUCGGAUUAGCUAGUUGGUGGGGUAAAGGCCUACCAAGGCGACGAUCUGUAGCGGGUCUGAGAGGAUGAUCCGCCACACUGGGACUGAGACACGGCCCAGACUCCUACGGGAGGCAGCAGUGGGGAAUAUUGGACAAUGGGGGGAACCCUGAUCCAGCCAUGCCGCGUGUGUGAAGAAGGCCUUUUGGUUGUAAAGCACUUUAAGCGAGGAGGAGGCUACUCUAGUUAAUACCUAGGGAUAGUGGACGUUACUCGCAGAAUAAGCACCGGCUAACUCUGUGCCAGCAGCCGCGGUAAUACAGAGGGUGCGAGCGUUAAUCGGAUUUACUGGGCGUAAAGCGUCCGUAGGCGGCUUUUUAAGUCGGAUGUGAAAUCCCUGAGCUUAACUUAGGAAUUGCAUUCGAUACUGGGAAGCUAGAGUAUGGGAGAGGAUGGUAGAAUUCCAGGUGUAGCGGUGAAAUGCGUAGAGAUCUGGAGGAAUACCGAUGGCGAAGGCAGCCAUCUGGCCUAAUACUGACGCUGAGGUACGAAAGCAUGGGGAGCAAACAGGAUUAGAUACCCUGGUAGUCCAUGCCGUAAACGAUGUCUCUACUAGCCGUUGGGGCCUUUGAGGCUUUAGUGGCGCAGCUAACGCGAUAAGUAGACCGCCUGGGGAGUACGGUCGCAAGACUAAAACUCAAAUGAAUUGACGGGGGCCCGCACAAGCGGUGGAGCAUGUGGUUUAAUUCGAUGCAACGCGAAGAACCUUACCUGGUCUUGACAUAGUAAGAACUUUCCAGAGAUGGAUUGGUGCCUUCGGGAACUUACAUACAGGUGCUGCAUGGCUGUCGUCAGCUCG
Molecule: ribosomal RNA, 961 nt
Filed under: Elbe River snow isolate Iso32
Lineage: Bacteria; Pseudomonadati; Pseudomonadota; Gammaproteobacteria; Moraxellales; Moraxellaceae
Description: bacterial SSU rRNA
Rfam family: Bacterial small subunit ribosomal RNA
Source: RNAcentral